CCGUGCGGCAUCAACCGGGCGUGAUCGACGCCGGUCCUCGAGCGGCCGGCCGCGAGGACGGAACCGGGGUUCGAUUCCACGCCGCACCGG
RNAcentral lists this transfer RNA (90 nucleotides) under candidate division TA06 bacterium ADurb.Bin417. RNAcentral's name for it is "tRNA-Ser". The record is from RNAcentral.